Lagenorhynchus albirostris (white-beaked dolphin) is the source of this 6757-nucleotide RNA transcript. It is a transcript of the gene named delta like canonical Notch ligand 3, with no coding region annotated. The record is from RefSeq and is a predicted model, not a curated record. The transcript has 9 exons. NCBI's taxonomy places the organism in Eukaryota, Metazoa, Chordata, Mammalia, Artiodactyla, Delphinidae.
AACUCUGGCCUGGGAAUCCGAAAACCUGUGUAGGGCCCUGCCCUGCCCUAGCCGUGUCUUCCCAUGUGCCACGUGGUCUGUGAAAGUGCAUCUCCCUCUUUGGCCCCAGAUUCCCUAUGGAAAAGAGAAGAGAGGACGGCACUGUGGGUUGAAAUACAGGUAGCCGCCAGGCUGCUGUGUAAAUGUGUGAAGUGUGGGCGCAUGGGGCUUCAGUGGACCAGAGGCUGCCCCACCCCAUCUCACGAGGGCAGCUGCUGCUCAGCUCUGCCAACCAUGGCCCUGUGGGAAGGUGGGCCUAGAGUUGCUUGAUCUGGUUUUUCAGUAGAAGCCAGGAAAGGGGUUGUUAUAUUAAAUCUCCCAAUUUAAAAAUGUUGGCUCCUAACUAAAACAGACUGUAGCAGCACUCUGCAGUGGAGCUUUCCGCGAUGUGUACCCCGUGUCAUGUAUCUCCACUGUCCGGUAGAGCAGCCAGUGGCCUCAUGGGGCCAUUGAGUACUUGAGAUGUGGCAAGGGUAACUGAGGGAUGAGAUUUUUAAUUUUGUUUCAUUUUAAUUAAAUAGCCGCGUGUGACUACUGGCUCCUGCAAUGGACAGCACAUUUGGGUAUUAUCUAGGAGUGUUGAGUUCCAGACUGGUUGUUAUUGGCCGCGCAGCAGCGCAGCAUAUGGGAUCUUAGUUCCCUGACCAGGGAUCAAAGCCUGCUGCAGUGGAAACACGGAGUCUUAACCACUGGACCGCCAGAGAAGUCCCUCCAGACUUUUAUAAACCCAAAUCCAAGUUCGGAUCCAAGCUCUAUGCCAUGUCCUGACUUGUGUGAUCACAAGCAAAUGAGCAAGUUACUUCCCUUCUCGGUGCCUCAGUUUCCACGUCUGUGAAAUAAUAGUCCCUACCUCAUAGGCUAGGCUUGAAGGCUCAGUGAGGUCCCCCAGGUAGGCACUCAGAUGGUAGCUGUAUGCACCUUGGGAGCACCUUUCUGCCUCCCUUGCCUCAUCUCUAAAAUGGGGGCGAUGAUAAUACCCAUUGUAAUAGAGUGGCUGCGAGGAGUAAAUGGGACAGCUCAUGCGCAGGCUGCAUGUAUAUUCAGUGGGGCUUAUUGUUACCAGGCCAUGCUGGUUCUUCCCAGACUGAAAUGUCCUGUACCAUUUUGGCAGUUGCCUGCCCCCCGGCUGUCUCAGCCUCUCCUGCUCUAGCCAGCAUUUAGUGCUUGUACCAGUUAGAUACUUUUAAAAACCCUUCCCUGGUAUUUGUGAAAAGAAUUAAAAUGUAUUUGAAACUGUGUGGGCCAGAUUGAACUUGAACUCUAGAUUUUUAAGCAAGGCUCACAGAGGUCUACAAAUAAGUAACAUUUGCAGCCCUCCACCCCCACCCUGAGGUGUACCAUUUGUAAUCCAGGAGAGAGUUUCCUCGAUAUCCUCAGGAUUCCCUAGCUUGAGAGCAUCUGCAGGAUUGAGGGAGGGCCUGUGUUUCCUUUGCAGGUGGCUUUGAGUGUUGGAAACUCCUAACUGAAAGCAAGGUAUUUGGGGAACAUGAUCCUGGGGAGAGGGUUUGUGGACGGAGGGAGCCACUGCAAGUGAGUGCUCGCCAACCACAGGGGGUGACCCAUGGGACCUUCUGAGAAGCUUUUGAAAUGUGACUCAGAUCUGUCCAUCCACGGGGCAUGAAAGGAGGAAGUACGUUUGUCCAUUGGCCCGUGGCCCUGGGGGUUAAGGUUAGCACUCUGGGUGGCACAUGCUUCAGUGUCCAGUGGGUUCCUCCAAGGCCUCUCCCCGACAUUGAUGCUGGUUCAGGGAUGGUGCUGUCUGUCAGGUCACACCUGCUUAAAGCUGGAUGGGAGAAGGUUUGACUUGUGCCAGGUGGCCUCUGAGACGCUGCUUACGUGACAUGGCGUAGGAUGUUUAUAUCAAAUGCUCGGUGCUAGGGCUGCAUUAGGGCGUCAUCCAGUGGGCAGGAUUGGGCCAGUGUUGAGGCAUAUCCCAGCAGGGGCUGAAUUCCCAGGUUGCACGCCACUUGCAAGCCCUGUGACCCUGGGCAAGGUCUCAAGCAUCUCAGUUUACUCAUUCAUAAGAGGUUAAUAAUAGUACUUCUCAUUUGCUUACUCAACAAAUAUAUCCUAAGUACUGACUGCCAGCCCUCAUUUUAGGCACAAGGGUGUACUGGUGAACAAACUAGAGGAAAAGCUCUAGAAAAAAAGGAGCUGAUGUUCUCAUGGAGGAGACAGAAAGUGGUCAGAUAUUUCUUGGGGUAAAAUAAAUGCAUACAGGAAAGCAUGGGAAGGAGAUAGAGUGGUUUGGGAACAGGAGUGCUGUUUUAGAUUGAAUGGGACAGUCAGAGAAGGCCUCUUGAGAGGGUGUAUUUGAGCAGAGACCAGAAUGAAAUGAGACAAACCAUGGGGAUAUCUGGGUGUGCCAGGCAUGGUCACCCCAGGGCCUUUGCACUUUCUAUGCCCUCUGCCAGGAAUGUUUUUUCCCCAGGAUCCAUAUAGCUCACUCCCUCCCCUCCUUCAGGUCUUUGCAGAUGUCACCUCAGCAUAGCCUUCUGUGGGCUCUAAGGUGGGCACAUAAGGAAAAGUCCUAGAUAGCCAAAAAGAUGCUUGGAAAUCCCUUAAAGUACACGUACAGACUUGAGAGAAUUCACAUGAAACACUAUCGUGCCUGGCAGAGACCCUCAAUAAACGCUGGCUAUUUUUACAAUCUUUAAAAAUUUUGAGCUAUCUCAGACGUGGAAAUUGUUACCUCCCCAGUUAUUAUCCACGGCAGGAAUUUGCCUUCUCCCACAGCUUCUAAUAACUGUCCAGAUCUCAUUUGAAUAGUUCCUGUAAUGGGAGGCUCACUCCUUUACCUACCCCAGUACAGGCCCUAAUUUGCCUCCCAUUAACUGGGGUCCACAAGGUCUGGCUCUGUGCUUUGGGGCCACAGAACCUGUUUGAGUAGGGGGAUGUGGAGGGAGGGCCUUAAAUGUCAACCUUAGAAUUUCAGAAGCUGGGAGGCACUGGGGAGCCAUGGAAGAGUCUAUGUAGGAGAGGGACAUGGUCAGAUUUGUGCUUAGAAAGACCUCAUAGGCCAGAGUGGUUGGGGCUGGGAUAGAGGAGUCCCCAGGGGCUGUGGGAACUCAGAAGAGGUGCCUGACCCCCUUGGGGGGUGUUAGGGAAGGCCUCCUAUAGGAGGUGAAGUCUGGUAACAAUUUAAAAAGAAGGAAGUGGAAAGAAUAUAUCAAGUAGAAGAAAAACCUGUGCAAAGGAACCUGGGAUGUUCUGCACAAUUGACCAUGGCCCUCCCCUGUUCAAAACCCUUCCAUGACUCCCGUCCUCAGGAUUAUGACAAAACUGUUUAGAUUGAGUUCUUUCAUUCAUUAAAAAUGACUGAGCACUUACUGUAUGCCUGGCUCUACUGGGCUGUGCUUUAUUGAGCACCUUCUCCAAAAGAAAAAUAUGUACGUAUAUAAUUGAACCUGUAUCUCCCCCUAUAAUUAUUAGCUUCUAAGUGUUAAAUUUUUUUCUUCUGGAAAAAAAAAAUUUACUCCAUCUAAAGGGCUUUGCUCAGCACCUGGCAGAGUAAAUGAUUGGGACCGGAGGGCUGGAACAUCUGCUCUAACUGGCUUUCCUUGCGGUGGUCCUGGAAUACUAAGGAGCUUCUGGAGGGCGCCGGGUGCCCCCCGCCCCCCAUUCAUCCUGGAGUGAGGGAGCGGGCCCCUGAUCUGUGAGGACCGAAUUUCCUGCCCAUUUGCUGCUCACACCUUCCGGAGGCCAAACGGGCAGCCCAGCUGCGGCCCAAAGGGGGAGGGGCGCGGCCGCCCAGCAGAUGGCAGCAUUUACAUACAGCUGGGAGCCCCCUCUGAGGCGGGGGCUGCUCGCCCUAGCGUCUGGUGCAUCCGUGAUGCGGGUUUGGGGAGGGUGGCUUUGUUUUGGGGAGGGGAAACACACUCGAGCAUGCGCGCGUGCUCACACACACACACACACACACACACACACACACACACACACACACACACGGGUCCACAAAGAACACUGGAUCUUCAUCGUAUCCACACAGGGCUACACUCAUGGACCUCCCACACCCAGCCUCCUUCACACACAAACCCUCAGCCAUUCACAACCUUGCACAGACCUUACCACACACACAAACACACACAGCCACCUAGAGGCACCUGCACAGACCACAAAGUCACAGGUUCCUGUGACUACACACAGUGGCCCAGGAGCUAACACAUUUUUGUACACCUGAACAGAGAAGCAUCUACACAGCCACAGAAUCUCAAAAGUCACACAACCAUGAAAUCAUGUACAUCUCCAUUCUCCCAUGCAGGUGUGUGUGUGCGUGUAUACAUACACACACACGCACACACACACAGAAUCUUAGAAUUAUUUACAGCCUCACAAAGAGGCUUAACCAUAUACAAUUUCAAGCACACGUGGAGCCACACAAUCUGACCUAGACACACAAUCACAGUCAUGUACACCCUCCAGUAGCUCUGGCUCACACACCACACACAGAGUUUUAAAAUCAUAUCCAACCUCACACACAAGCUUAACCCCCCCCACCCCACCCUAUCCUCAGCCACACAAAUCAUGCCCACAACCGCAUAUAAGAUGUACACUCACUGCAUUGCCUGUGGCCACGACACAGUCUCACGGCUGCUCCAGCACGCUCUCCUUCCCCUGCGACCUCCUCCCCUAGGGUCCCCUGGAGCCGGCGGCUGCCCGAAGGGGCGGAGCUGUCCUCUCAGAUAUAAGGCUCCGGAGCCAGCAGCUGCAGCUCCCAAGACCUCCGGAAGGCCAUGGUCUCCCCGCAGAUGCCCCAGCUCCUCUCCCCGACGUCCCCUCACCCUGUACCCCUUUCCGCCCCAGACACGGCCGGCCGGCGUCUUCGAGCUGCAGAUCCACUCUUUUGGGCCGGGACCAGGCCCGGGCGCCCCGCGGUCCCCCUGCAAGGCCGGGGACACCUGCCGCCUCUUCUUCAGGGUUUGCCUGAAGCCAGGGAUCUCCGAGGAGGCCGCCGAGUCUCCGUGCACCCUGGGCGCGGCGCUGAGUGCGCGCGGACCGGUCUACACUGCGCAGCCCGGAGCGCCAGCGCCUGACUUGCCGCUGCCAGACGGCCUCAUGCGCGUGCCCUUCCGGGACGCCUGGCCGGGCACCUUCUCUCUCAUCAUUGAAACCUGGAGAGAGGAGUUAGGAGAACAGAUUGGAGGGCCCGCUUGGAGCCUGCUGGCGCGCGUGGCGGGCCGGCGUCGCCUGUCGGCCGGGAGCCCGUGGGCCUGGGACGUGCAGCGCGCAGGCGCCUGGGAGCUGCGCUUCUCCUACCGCGCGCGCUGCGAGCCGCCGGCCGUUGGGGCCGCGUGCGCGCGCCUCUGCCGCUCGCGCGGCGCCCCCUCGCGGUGUGGCCCGGAACUGCGCCCCUGCCCGCAGAUUGAGGACAAAUGCGAGGCACCGCCAGCAUGUCGAGCAGGCUGCAGCCCAGAGCACGGCUUCUGUGAGCAGCCCGAUGAAUGUCGAUGCCUGGAGGGCUGGACUGGGCCCCUCUGCACAAUCCCUGUCUCCACCAGCAGCUGCCUCAGCCCCAGGGGCCCAUCCUCUGCUACCACUGGAUGCCUCGUACCCGGGCCUGGGCCCUGUGAUGGGAAUCCGUGUGCCAACGGAGGCAGCUGUAGUGAGACCCCGGGGUCCUUCGAAUGCACCUGUCCCCGUGGGUUCUACGGGUUGCGGUGUGAGGUGAGCGGGGUGACAUGUGCGGAUGGACCUUGCUUCAACGGCGGCUUGUGUGUGGGAGGUGCGGACCCCGACUCUGCCUACAUCUGCCGUUGCCCGCCCGGUUUCCAAGGCUCCAAUUGUGAGAAGAGGGUAGACCGGUGCAGCCUGCAGCCAUGCCGGAAUGGCGGGCUCUGCCUGGAUCUGGGCCACGCCCUGCGCUGCCGCUGCCGCGCGGGCUUCGCGGGGCCACGCUGCGAACACGACCUGGAUGACUGCGCCAGCCGCGCCUGCGCCAAUGGCGGCACCUGCCUGGAGGGCGGCGGCGCGCGCCGCUGCUCCUGCGCGCUGGGCUUCGGUGGCCGCGACUGCCGCGAGCGCGCCGACCCAUGCGCCGCGCGCCCCUGCGCCCACGGCGGGCGCUGCUACGCGCAUUUCUCCGGUCUCGUCUGCGCCUGCGCGCCCGGCUACAUGGGCGCGCGGUGCGAGUUCCCGGUUCACCCCGACGGCGCAGGCGCGUUGCCCGUGGCUCCGCCGGGUCUGAGGUCGGGGGACCCGCAGCGUUUCCUUUUGCCACCGGCUUUGGGACUGCUGGUGGCCGCGGGCUUGGCCGGCUCUGCGCUCUUGCUGGUCCACGUGCGACGCCGUGGCCCUGGCCGGGAUACUGGAUCUCGCUUGCUGGCGGGGACACCGGAGCCAUCGGUCCACGCGCUCCCUGAUGCACUCAACAACAUGAGGACGCGGGAAGGUGCCGGGGAUGGCCCGAGGUGAGGGGCUUGGCCGCAGACCCCGUCCUCAGAUUGGAAUCGCCCUGAAGAUGGAGACGCUCGUUCGGUUUACGUCAUAUCUGCUCCUUGUAUCUAUGCUCGGGAGGCCUGAGCUGCCCCUUCUCCAUCAGCACCUGGGGACAGAACAUGGAUAUUUUUGUAUUCUCUGCUUCAGACACUUUGGAGUUCAAGCUGGAAGAGGUGAAGGGGAGGGUUUUACCAUUGGACGUUGUACAUAAUGGUUAUUUAUAUCCUAUCUUUUUCUUUCCCCAUCUCUCCAGAGACAUCUAUAAAGGCUCUUAGUUUGAUCA